UACGAGUGCUCCAAGCGUUAUCCGGAAUUAUUGGGCGUAAAGGGUGUGUAGGUGGUUGUGUUAGUCUUUUGUUAAAUUCUUCGGCUUAACCGGGGGCAUGCAAAGGAAACGGCACAACUAGAGGAUGCGAGAGGUGAACGGAACUCAUGGAGUAGGGGUGAAAUCCGUUGAUAUCAUGGGGAACACCAAUUGCGAAGGCAGCUCGCUGGGACGUUACUGACGCUGAGACGCGAAAGCGUGGGGAGCAAACAGG
RNAcentral lists this ribosomal RNA (253 nucleotides) under uncultured bacterium. RNAcentral describes it as "partial 16S ribosomal RNA". It matches the Rfam family "Bacterial small subunit ribosomal RNA", at positions 524 to 776 of the family's 1533-position model. The record is from RNAcentral.